UACGUAGGGUGCAAGCGUUAUCCGGAAUUAUUGGGCGUAAAGAGCUCGUAGGCGGUUUGUCGCGUCUGCUGUGAAAACCGGAGGCUCAACCUCCGGCCUGCAGUGGGUACGGGCAAACUAGAGUGCGGUAGGGGAGAUUGGAAUUCCUGGUGUAGCGGUGGAAUGCGCAGAUAUCAGGAGGAACACCGAUGGCGAAGGCAGAUCUCUGGGCCGUAACUGACGCUGAGACGCGAAAGCGUGGGGAGCAAACAGG
Molecule: ribosomal RNA, 253 nt
Filed under: uncultured bacterium
Lineage: Bacteria
Description: partial 16S ribosomal RNA
Rfam family: Bacterial small subunit ribosomal RNA
Source: RNAcentral